AAUCUUGAAGAUUUUUAUAUCUUGCAAUCCAUUCCAAAAAAAUUGUUUACGAGUUUGGAUCGGCUAUAAAUGAGUUAGGUUUAAGAGAAAACUUAAUGAACGAAUGCUUUUGUAGUAAAAUUUGAUUAUCUAACCCAUCGACUAUUAAAGAAACUGAAGGAAUAUAUAAUUUAAUUUACAAAUAAAAAAUAAAAUAAAAAUAAAGACA
This 208-nucleotide long non-coding RNA is filed under the name Lathyrus oleraceus (garden pea). Its description in RNAcentral is "Pisum sativum (pea) long non-coding RNA (PSAT_LNC009355)". Lineage: Eukaryota; Viridiplantae; Streptophyta; Magnoliopsida; Fabales; Fabaceae. The record is from RNAcentral.